This 928-nucleotide long non-coding RNA is filed under the name Mytilus galloprovincialis (Mediterranean mussel). The record is from RNAcentral. Lineage: Eukaryota; Metazoa; Mollusca; Bivalvia; Mytilida; Mytilidae.
AUAAUAUCUAAGAUACUCAAGAUUUUUGUUUUUUAUUCAUUAUGUGAUUAUCAUUUUUUUUUUUUUUUUUUUUUUUUUUAUUUGCAUAUAAAUUAGUGUCUUGCAACAAUGAUACAAAUUAAACACAAAUAUUAUAUAAAAGCUGGACAUAAAAAUGCAUGAUAUAACUUCAACUUGACAUUAAGCACGCAACAAUCAGUCAAUCCAUUGAAACUUUGCAAGGUAGACAACUCUUGAAAAUAUCAAAUAUGUUGAUUGCAUAUAAAAUUAAUUUGUGUAUUUUGUUUUUUGUAUUACAGUAAUGUCCAAUACAAAUGCAUUAUCAAAUCUUUACAGAUAAAAACAAAUUUAAACUUUUUGUGAAAAAAAUAAAAAACAAAAUAUGUUUUUUGGCCAAAUGCAAAUGUUACUUUGUACAACUGCUUUAAUAUUUUCACCAUAACAAGUAGUACAUAUGUAAACUAAUGUUUUUGCACACAUAUGUUAACUAAUAUUUUUGUAUACAUAUGUAAACCAAUGUUUUUGCACACAUAUGUUAACUAAUAUUUUUGUAUACAUAUGUAAACCAAUGUUUUUGUAAUGAGAAUUUUAUGAGGAGUUAUGUUGUAUUUGUAGUUUUGAACUUGAAAUCAAUAUUGCCCAUGUGAAACAUUUUGAUUCAGGUGAAAUACUUUCAAGAUGUAGCUGAGCAAAAUUAGUAAUGAUAUGUUAUUGCACUUUAUAAACUUAAAUUAGAAUUGACCACUUGACAAGAAAAUUGGUUUUACAUGGUUGUUAUUUCAGUCAUGCUGGAUUGUAUCAUGAUUCUAUUGUGUAACCAUGACAAGUCGCUUUGUGAUACAUUACAGCUAUUCUGGUCCGAGACCACAAUUAAUUCGUAGUGCAUUUCUUUUAGAACAUAAAUGAAAAUUUAAAAAAAUCCACCUGC